This 293-nucleotide ribosomal RNA is filed under the name uncultured bacterium. Its description in RNAcentral is "partial 16S ribosomal RNA". It matches the Rfam family "Bacterial small subunit ribosomal RNA", at positions 333 to 644 of the family's 1533-position model. The record is from RNAcentral.
UGUGGCCUACGGGGGGCAGCAGUGGGGAAUAUUGCACAAUGGGCGAAAGCCUGAUGCAGCAACGCCGCGUGAAGGAAGAAGGUCUUCGGAUCGUAAACUUCUGUCCUUGGGGAAGAUAAUGACGGUACCCUUGGAGGAAGCCCCGGCUAACUACGUGCCAGCAGCCGCGGUAAUACGGAGGAUGCGAGCGUUAUCCGGAUUUAUUGGGUUUAAAGGGUGCGUAGGCGGAAGGUUAAGUCAGCGGUCAAAUGUCGGUGCUCAACACCGGCCUGCCGUUGAAACUGGUCUUCUUG